This 2183-nucleotide ribosomal RNA is filed under the name human gut metagenome. RNAcentral's name for it is "bacterial LSU rRNA". It matches the Rfam family "Bacterial large subunit ribosomal RNA", at positions 722 to 2925 of the family's 2925-position model. The record is from RNAcentral.
CGGGUGAUCUAGCCAUGACCAGGUUGAAGUUGGGGUAAAACCCGAUGGAGGACCGAACCGACCCCCGUUGAAACGUUGGCGGAUGAGUUGUGGCUAGGGGUGAAAUUCCAAUCGAACCCGGAGAUAGCUGGUUCUCCCCGAAAUAGCUUUAGGGCUAGCGUCGAGGUAAGUUGCGUGAAGGUAGAGCACUGAAUAUGUGAUGGCCCCAUCUCGGGGUACUGAGCAUAAUCAAACUGCGAAUGUCACGCCAACAUGCUCGGCAGUCAGACAGCGGGUGAUAAGGUCCGUUGUCAAGAGGGAAACAGCCCAGACCAUCAGCUAAGGUCCCAAAAUGUAUGCUAAGUGGAAAAGGAUGUGGAGAUGUACAGACAACUAGGAGGUUGGCUCAGAAGCAGCCAUCCUUUAAAGAGUGCGUAACAGCUCACUAGUCGAAUGACUCUGCGCCGAUAAUUUACCGGGGCUAAGCAUACUACCGAAGCUAUGGAUCCCAAGGGAUGGUAGGGGAGCGUUCCAUGAACGGAGAAGUACGACCGAAAGGACGUGUGGAGAUCAUGGAAGAGAGAAUGCCGGUGUGAGUAGCGGAACGUGGGUGAGAAUCCCACGCACCGAAAACCCAAGGUUUCCAGAGGAAGGUUCGUCCGCUCUGGGUAAGUCGGGACCUAAGGCGAGGCCGAAAGGCGUAGUCGAUGGACAACAGGUAGAGAUUCCUGUACCCGUAUAUAUGUGAAGGAAUGACGGAGAGAGGAAGCUGCAGCCAGCGGCUGGAAGAGCUGGUGCAAGCGAGAUAUCGGGAUGGCAGGCAAAUCCACCAUCCGAAACGAGAAGGCGUGAAGCGUACGGAAAGCUACGGCGAGUACGGAAGGCAGUGGAGGAACUUCCAAGAAAAGUUUCUAACGUUAAGUAUAUAUGGCCCGUACCGAAAAUGGACACACAUGGGUGAGGAGAGAAUCCUAAGGUGAGCGAGAGAACUAUAGCUAAGGAACUCUGCAAAAUGACUCCGUAACUUAGGGAGAAGGAGUGCUCAUAGAGAUAUGAGCCGCAGUGAAACGGCCCAAGCGACUGUUUACCAAAAACACAGCUCUCUGCUAAGCCGCAAGGCGAAGUAUAGGGGGUGACGCCUGCCCGGUGCUGGAAGGUUAAGGGGAGGGGUUAACGCAAGUGAAGCCCUGAACUGAAGCCCCAGUAAACGGCGGCCGUAACUAUAACGGUCCUAAGGUAGCGAAAUUCCUUGUCAGGUAAGUUCUGACCCGCACGAAAGGCGUAACGAUUUGGGCGCUGUCUCAGCUGUAGACUCGGUGAAGUCUUAGUACCUGUGAAGAUGCAGGUUACCCGCGACUAGACGGAAAGACCCCAUGGAGCUUCACUGCAGGUUGAUAUUGGGAUUUGAUGCAGCAUGUACAGGAUAGGUAGGAGGCAAAGAGAUGGAUACGCCAGUAUUCAAGGAGCCGCUGUUGGGAUACUACCCCUGUUGUAUUGGAUUUCUAACCGGACGACGUAGAGCCGUUGACGGGACAGUGUCAGUCGGGCAGUUUGACUGGGGCGGUCGCCUCCCAAAGAGUAACGGAGGCGCCCAAAGAUACCCUCAGCUUGGAUGGAAACCAAGCGCAGAGUGCAAAGGCAAAAGGGUGUUUGACUGCGAGACCCACAAGUCGAGCAGGGACGAAAGUCGGGCUUAGUGAUCCGGCGGUGCUGAAUGGAAGGGCCGUCGCUCAACGGAUAAAAGCUACCCUGGGGAUAACAGGCUGAUCUCCCCCAAGAGUCCACAUCGACGGGGAGGUUUGGCACCUCGAUGUCGGCUCAUCGCAUCCUGGGGCUGUAUUCGGUCCCAAGGGUUUGGCUGUUCGCCAAUUAAAGCGGCACGCGAGCUGGGUUCAGAACGUCGUGAGACAGUUCGGUCCCUAUCUGUUGCGGGCGCAGGAGAUUUGAAGGGAGCUGUCCUUAGUACGAGAGGACCGGGAUGGACAGACCUCUGGUGCACCAGUUGUCGUGCCAACGGCACAGCUGGGUAGCUACGUCUGGACGAGAUAAACGCUGAAAGCAUCUAAGUGUGAAACUCCCCCUAAGAUAAGAUCUCCCAUCCAUUAGGAGUAAGGGACGACAAAGACUAUGUCGUUGAUAGGUCGGAAGUGUAAGUGCAGUAAUGCAUUGAGCUGACCGAUACUAAUAACCCGAGGGCUUGACCU